Molecule: long non-coding RNA, 312 nt
Organism: Myotis brandtii (Brandt's bat)
Lineage: Eukaryota; Metazoa; Chordata; Mammalia; Chiroptera; Vespertilionidae
Exons: 3
Source: RefSeq, a predicted model, not a curated record
AUGCACUCCACCUCACACGAAUCGAAUCGGUUGAUGUCGUCCGCCCUCAACUCCAGUCCUGUGAUCUUAGAACUGACCCGGGCUGACCCUGAAGACCUGGAGCUUCCCCAGCACUCAAAAGAAUGCUUGACUCAAGACAGAACUGUAAAUAUUUGUUCAAUGGGUGGAUGAAUGAUCAAUGGAUCCAAUUGAACAUAGAAGAGUGUCAGGGAGAUAGAAUCACUUUCCCAAGAGUUAUACGGGCAGCCAAGUAAAGGAAAUUUUUAAAAUACAGAAAAGUGGCGAGAACAGUACGAUGACUCUAUUAUCUGU